CCCGCACAAGCGGUGGAGCAUGUGGUUUAAUUCGAAGCAACGCGAAGAACCUUACCAAAUCUUGACAUCUUUUGACCGCUCUAGAGAUAGAGUUUUCCUCUUCGGAGGACAAAAUGACAGGUGGUGCAUGGUUGUCGUCAGCUCGUGUCGUGAGAUGUUGGGUUAAGUCCCGCAACGAGCGCAACCCUUGAGCUUAGUUGCCAUCAUUAAGUUGGGCACUCUAAGUUGACUGCCGGUGACAAACCGGAGGAAGGUGGGGAUGACGUCAAAUCAUCAUGCCCCUUAUGAUUUGGGCUACACACGUGCUACAAUGGACAAUACAAAGGGCAGCAAAACCGUGAGGUCAAGCAAAUCCCAUAAAGUUGUUCUCAGUUCGGAUUGUAGUCUGCAACUCGACUACAUGAAGCUGGAAUCGCUAGUAAUCGUAGAUCAGCAUGCUACGGUGAAUACGUUCCCGGGUCUUGUACACACCGCCCGUCACACCACGAGAGUUUGUAACACCCGAAGCCGGUGGAGUAACCAUUUGGAGCUAGCCGUCGAAGGUGGGACAAAUGAUUGGGGUGAAGUCGUAACAAGGUAGCCGUAUCGGAAGGUGCGGCUGGAUCACCUCCUUU
This 614-nucleotide ribosomal RNA is filed under the name Staphylococcus chromogenes. Its description in RNAcentral is "bacterial SSU rRNA". It matches the Rfam family "Bacterial small subunit ribosomal RNA", at positions 920 to 1533 of the family's 1533-position model. Lineage: Bacteria; Bacillati; Bacillota; Bacilli; Caryophanales; Staphylococcaceae. The record is from RNAcentral.